UACGGAGGGUGCAAGCGUUAUCCGGAUUCACUGGGUUUAAAGGGUGCGUAGGUGGGCUAGUAAGUCCGUGGUGAAAUCUCCAAGCUUAACUUGGAAACUGCCGUGGAUACUAUUAGUCUUGAAUAUUGUGGAGGUAAGCGGAAUAUGUCAUGUAGCGGUGAAAUGCUUAGAUAUGACAUAGAACACCGAUAGCGAAGGCAGCUUGCUACACAGUUAUUGACACUGAGGCACGAAAAGCGUGGGGGAGCAAACAGG
This 255-nucleotide ribosomal RNA is filed under the name uncultured bacterium. RNAcentral's name for it is "partial 16S ribosomal RNA". It matches the Rfam family "Bacterial small subunit ribosomal RNA", at positions 524 to 776 of the family's 1533-position model. The record is from RNAcentral.